UAACACCGGCGCCUCGAGUGGUAACCGUUAUUAUUGGGCCUAAAGGGUCUGUAGCCGGCCGAAUAAGUCUCUUGAGAAAUCUGGCAGCUUAACUGUCAGGCUUUCAGGAGAUACUGUCUGGCUCGAGGCCGGGAGAGGUGAGAGGUACUUCAGGGGUAGGGGUGAAAUCUUGUAAUCCUUGAAGGACCACCAGUGGCGAAGGCGUCUCACCAGAACGGACCUGACGGCAAGGGACGAAAGCUAGGGGCACGAACCGGAUUAGAUACCCGGGUAGUCCUAGCCGUAAACGAUACUCGCUAGGUGUCGGCCACGGUGCGACCGUUGUCGGUGCCGUAGGGAAGCCGUGAAGCGAGCCACCUGGGAAGUACGGCCGCAAGGCUGAAACUUAAAGGAAUUGGCGGGGGAGCACCACAACGGGUGGAGCUUGCGGUUUAAUUGGAUUCAACGCCGGAAAUCUUACCGGGACCGACAGCAAUAUGAAGGCCAGGCUGAAGACUUUGCCGGAUUAGCUGAGAGGUGGUGCAUGGCCGUCGUCAGUUCGUACUGUGAAGCAUCCUGUUAAGUCAGGUAACGAGCGAGACCC
This 583-nucleotide ribosomal RNA is filed under the name unidentified archaeon. Its description in RNAcentral is "bacterial SSU rRNA". It matches the Rfam family "Archaeal small subunit ribosomal RNA", at positions 471 to 1053 of the family's 1478-position model. The record is from RNAcentral.